RNA transcript from Onychostoma macrolepis, 3025 nucleotides. RefSeq lists it as uncharacterized. The transcript has 4 exons. The record is from RefSeq and is a predicted model, not a curated record. Lineage: Eukaryota; Metazoa; Chordata; Actinopteri; Cypriniformes; Cyprinidae.
UUUUUACAGUUCAGACAGUGCUAGUUUCCGAAGAAACCCGCAUAAUUUUAAGAAUAGCACGUUUAAAAUGGAAAAGUGGUAAAUGAAGGAUAUAAUAUAUCUGUCCAUGCUGGAUAUUGAUGGUUUCAUUACGUAAAUCUUUCAGCAGAAGGGAGGCGUCACUGAUGGAGAGAGACAAAAAACUGAGCAGAGAGGAGAUGGAAAAGGAUCCAGUGGGUGUGACUGAUGGAACAGAUUCAGCCUGGAGCAUCAGAGAUCAGCUUUCUGAACGGAGAUCCAGAAACACACAGGACUCAGAGAUCAGCCUCAGUUUACUUUGUUACACUGACACUCAAGAGAGUGUGUGUGACAGUCAUGCAUCUACCGAUCAAAUCUCCACAGAGUCUUUGGGUUCAGACUGUAACGCUGAAGAAGAGCAGACACCACUUAAGAUGUGCUCAGUGAAGCUAGAGGACUGCAGGAACCUAACAGAGAUGAAAAGAGAAACCACAGCUGAUGAAGAACUAAGCGAUGAUGAUGAUGACGAUGUUUUUAUUCCCUCAGACUUAAAAGAGGAAAGUGAAAUUCUGAGUGAAGAGGAGGAGAUGCAUCAGCAUCAGAAACCUCAUAAUGUUUUAAGUGAAGAAACGUCUUUCGCAGGCUAUGAAUGUGGAACGAGUUUAGUGCAGGAAGGUCGAAAACUAUACAAAUGCCCUCAGUGUGGGAGGAGUUUUUCACAAAGAGAACAGCUUGAAAUGCAUAUGAAUGUUCACACCGGAGAGAAACCUUUCGCCUGCCAUGAGUGUGGAAAGAGUUUCACACGUCAAGGAAGCCUUAAUGUGCACAUGAGAGUCCAUACUGGAGAGAAGCCUUUCCUGUGCCCUCAAUGUGGAAAGAGUUUCAGUAUUAAACUAUAUCUUAAGAAUCACCUGAAAAUUCAUACUGGAGAGAAACCGUACACAUGCACUGAGUGUGGGAGGAUUUUCUCACAAAGAGGACACCUUGACACGCACAUGAGAUCUCACACCGGAGAGAAGCCUUAUACGUGCAAUGAGUGUGGAAAGAGUUUCACACGCCAAGGAAGACUUAAUAUUCACAUGAGAACUCACACUGGAGAGAAGCCGUUCACGUGUCCUCAGUGUGAGAAGAGUUUCAUUGGUAAACAUUACCUUAAGGAUCACCUAAAAGUUCACACUGGAGAGAAACCGUACACAUGCACUCAGUGUGGGAAGAGUUUUGCGCAUAAAGGAAUCCUUAAUGUGCACAUGAGAGUUCACACCGGAGAGAAACCGUACACCUGCCUUGAGUGUGGAAAGAGUUUCACACGGGCCGAGAGCGUCAAAGAUCAUCAUCUACGAAUUCACUCUGGAGAAAAGUCAAGCUGUGAUCAGUAAAACACAAUUUUGGGUUUAGGACUUGUCAGUAUCUGAUACAAGAAAGACAGUUUCAGAGAUGCUUUUAAAGUCACUUGCUCUACAUAUAUGCUAUGCCUUAUACUCAAAAACAAUGUGUUUUUCUUACUGUAAAGUGAGCUCAACAAAAACUCUUUGUGCACAGCACACAGACCCAACUAAUCAUUAAUGAAAUUCAUUGUUGUCUAAUUUAAUAAUAUAUAUAUAUAUUUUUUUGUAAUUGCAGCCAUAAUAAUAUUUUUUAUAUUUAAUCAUAACAGUUCUGCAGGGCCAUGGACUGUAGACUAUUUAAUUGUAUGUAUUUUGUGUAUUUAAUAUGAUGCUUAUUUAAUGUUUAUAGAUAUAAAAUGACAAAAUUCACACAAGUCAGGGUUUUAAACUGCAUUUAGAACUGUCCUAAAAUUGCAGUCAUUGUAUCUGUCCCCCACCGACAACGUUGUGAACGUUGAGAUCAUCAUGGACCUUGUAACUCUCCACCGUCUUGAAGAACAAAAGCUCAAAGCAGCGCACGGCUAGUCUGUUGUAUGAGGUGAUAGUCAUGUACUACACUGGAGUGCUAAAAGCCACCUUGAAAAAGUACUGGAUUCCUCUCAACCUCAAACCGCAAGACCAAGUCUAUUUGUUGGACUCUGCAGUAUAAGGAGUACAUGAACUAUCUGGUGGACCAGGGCACUCCCAAUCAGACCAAACAGAUUCUGGCCCCACAGUUCAACCUCAGCCUGCGUACACCAGACCUCAUCAUCACUGUACGUCAAUGAUCCACUAGUCUUUAUUUGGGACAUGUAAUCAUUUUUACAUUUCAUGAUGUUGACAUGACAUGAGUCCAGAUUAGUCACAUGGGUUUUAAAUCUAAUGUGAUUGGCUAGAAAUGUUUUAUAAUCUUGAUCAUGGAUCUUAGAUUCAAAGACUUGUUACUUUGAAUUUAGCAAGCACAUUUUUUUGACUUGGCAUGCAGAUUUAUUUUUGUCUUUUUCUUGUCUUUUAAAUAACAACAUAUGCAUAUUUAAUCUUUCAGAUCGAGUGCUUCAUGUUUGGUAGGCUAUGUAUAUUCAUUUAUUUGAAAUGACAGGUGAAAUGAUCAGUGGGUUUGAGUUUUUACCUUCAUCAUUAUAACAUGGGCUGAGGAAUGGAUAGAGUUGGUCAGUGAAAGAUAGACCAGUGAAAGAGUAGAUAUGAGAGCUGGACUCCACGUCAUAAAAAGAGACCAGACCCUCCUCAUAAUCCACAAACACACCAACCUUCUCAAGCUUCUCUCUCUGAGACAAAGAGACAGAGGGAUUUUCACAAGCUUUAUAUUGAUUCUCAUUCCUUAGAACCAAAGUCCAGCAUCCAUCCUCAGGACUCAGUCUGACCUUCCCCUUCUUAUUUAUGGAUUCUCUGGCCACUCCUAAAUCCCACUCGGCCUUGCCCUUCACCUGCACCUCAAAGUAAAAUUUCCCUGAAGAGAAACCCUCUUUUCCCAGAACAUCUAAACAUGAAUCAAAUCUAUUUGGAUAGUUAGGAAUGUUCUGCUUAAUGUUUCCAUGACGGACUUGUUUUCCAUCCUUAGACAAGAUGAGUUAAGGAUAAGCUGUAUCGGGAUCUAGAGUCACAUCCACUAAGAGAGAGAUAAGAGAAUAUGAACAAGCAUUCAG